Camellia sinensis is the source of this 2750-nucleotide non-coding RNA. The record is from RefSeq and is a predicted model, not a curated record. NCBI's taxonomy places the organism in Eukaryota, Viridiplantae, Streptophyta, Magnoliopsida, Ericales, Theaceae.
CUGGUGAGUUUUCCGAGAAAGUGAGAGAAAAUCGAAGGAAAAUAAGCGAAGAUAAAUGAAAAAGAUGGGAGGAUCUGCGUUAACGGGUAUUUGUUAUGGCAAUGACAGACGAGUAUGCUUAAUAUAUAGAGAGAGAGAGAGUAGAGACAGCGAGGGAGGGAAUGGUCAAAGGGCUAUUGAUGGAUUGGAAAAUUCUAAGGCAAAUUACAAACACCCCAUCGAGGUUUGGUGAAAAUACAGAUUUUCUCUGAAGUCUGAGAACGCAUCAAACCUAACAACAACCCUACAACCAACAUCAAUCUCAAAAAAUGAUAUUCGAGACGGAAAAUUUCAAAACGAUCUAGGGGUAUCACUCCUUGAAUUCGGAGAUCUGAUCGUCAGUGAGCUGAUCGGCCAUUCUGGUGAGUUUUCCGAGAAAGUGAGAGAAAAUCGAAGGAAAAUAAGCGAAGAUAAAUGAAAAAGAGAGGAGGAUCUGCGUUAACGGGUAUUUGUUAUGGCAAUGACAGACGAAUAUGCUUAAUAUAUAGAGAGAGAGAGAGAGUAGAGACAACGAGGGAGGGAAUGGUCAAAGGGCUAUUGAUGGAUUGGAAAAUUCUAGGGCAAAUUACAAACACCCCAUCGAGGUUUGGUGAAAAUACAGAUUUUCUCUAAAGUCUGAGAACACAUCAAACCUAACAACAACCUUACAACCAACAUCAAUCUCAAAAAAUGAUAUUCACGUGAUACCCCUAGAUCGUUUCGAAAUUUUCUGAUCCAUGCUUUAUAAGUUCUCUCUGGGUCCUUUUUCUUGAUUGAUUGUUGUUAUUUUAUUUUAUUUUUUUAUUUUUUGAGAACUGUCUAAUUUUUGCAUGCAUUAGGCUCGGUUGCAUUGGCCCUUUCAUAUGAUGGAUGGAAACACAUUAGAGCAUCUCUAAUCCUUGCUCUCUCUUUUUUCGUCAAAUUUGAUUGAAAAUUUGGUUGGUUCGUUUAUAUUCACGUGAUACCCCUAGAUCGUUUCGAAAUUUUCCGUCUCGAAUAUCAUUUUUUGAGAUUGAUGUUGGUUGUAGGGCUGUUGUUAGGUUUGAUGCGUAUCAAACGCACUGCUGAUCGUUAUCAUCUAUUUUUCUGAGCCCCAAAUCCUUCUUGUGUUUUUUUUUUUUUGUUUCUGUGAUGAUGCUUUAUUUAUGUGUUCUGAUGAUGCUAUUUAUAUAUCUGAUCCAUGCUUUAUAAGUUCUCUCUGGGUCCUUUUUCUUGAUUGAUUGUUGUUAUUUUAUUAUUAUAUUUUUUUUUUGAGAACUGUCUAAUUUUUGCAUGCAUUAGGCUCGGUUGCAUUGGCCCUUUCAUAUGAUGGAUGGAAACGCAUUAGAGCAUCUCUAAUCCUUGCUCUCUCUUUUUUCAUCAAAUUUGAUUGAAAAUUAGGUUGGUUCGUUUAUAUUCACGUGAUACCCCUAGAUCGUUUCGAAAUUUUCCGUCUCGAAUAUCAUUUUUUGAGAUUGAUGUUGGUUGUAGGGUUGUUGUUAGGUUUGAUGCGUAUCAAACGCACUGCACAUGAUGUUGAUAUUUGGAUUCGAGGCUAUUAUUUGCUGAUCGUUAUCAUCUAUUUUUCUGAGCCCCAAAUCCUUCUUGUGUUUUUUUUUUUGUUUCUGUGAUGAUGCUUUAUUUAUGUGUUCUGAUGAUGCUAUUUAUGUAUCUGAUCCAUGCUUUAUAAGUUCUCUCUAGGUCCUUUUUCUCGAUUGAUUGUUGUUAUUUUAUUUAUUAUUAUUUUUUUUUGAGAACUGUCUAAUUUUUGCAUGCAUUAGGCUCGGUUGCAUUGGCCCUUUCAUAUGAUGGAUGGAAACGCAUUAGAGCAUCUCUAAUCCUUGCUCUCUCUUUUUUCAUCAAAUUUGAUUGAAAAUUUGGUUAAAAGUUCGAUCUAGUAUUGGAACGCUCCAAUCCUUUGUUUUUUGUUUUUAUCAAAUCUUUUUGAAAAAUCCCAAACUUAUCCUAAAAUCUUGUUUUAACCAUUUCUGAUGAAAUAAAAUAACUCCCUAUUCUUACACUUUUUAAAUUCUCGUCAAUUGUGUGUAAAAUAUGACUGUUGGAAAUUUGGUGAAGGAUUUUGGUUCAUCUUUGGUGAAAAUUUUGCCUCCCCCUUGAUUUGAUAGAUGUUUGAUAAAAUGAUUGGAGCUCAAUUUUAGCUCUUUACUCAUCAAAUAUAAAUUUGAUGAAAGAAUUGGUGAAGGAUUGGAGAUCUCUUAGGAGCUGUAGUUUCAUUCCCUUCUUGUGGCUCUUUUUAGUAGGGAAUUAAAAAUUAUUGUUAUGGUACUAUUUUUUUUAUACAAAAAACAUUAGCAGAUUUAUGUUUGGGACAAAAAUACCUUAAAUAUUUGUUGGACUAGAGUGAUUGUAAUCAAAUUUUGUGGUAAAAAAUAUCUUUAUGUUUCUACAAAUCACAAAAUUGCCUUCUUCCUCCUCUGUUUACUAUUUCUCUCCCCUCAUAUAUGUGGUAUGUAUUUCUUGUCUAUAAUCAGCAACCAUGCACUUAUCUCCCCACCAGAGCACAACCGGUAGUCAAGCAUCCAUUGGUCUCCCCCUCACUCCAUCCAUCAUAUGAAAGGGCCAAUGCAACCGAGCCUAAUGCAUGCAAAAAUUAGACAGUUCUAAAAAAAAAAAUAAAUAAAUAAAAUAACAACAAUCAAUCAAGAAAAAGGACCCAGAGAGAACUUAUAAAGCAUGGAUCAGAUACAUAAAUAGCAUCAUCAGAACACAUAAAUAAAGCAUCAUCACAGAAA